This 70-nucleotide transfer RNA is filed under the name Deinococcus arenae. RNAcentral's name for it is "tRNA-Arg". Lineage: Bacteria; Thermotogati; Deinococcota; Deinococci; Deinococcales; Deinococcaceae. The record is from RNAcentral.
CGGCGCUCUGGCCGGGCGCGACCGCGAACUGCGGGUCCGCGAAGACCAGUUCGAAGCCGCUCUCGUCGGC